This 106-nucleotide transfer RNA is filed under the name Serpentinimonas maccroryi. RNAcentral's name for it is "tRNA-Und (NNN) (tRNA-Und-NNN-2-1)". RNAcentral also lists the same sequence under 2 other names. The record is from RNAcentral. Lineage: Bacteria; Pseudomonadati; Pseudomonadota; Betaproteobacteria; Burkholderiales; Comamonadaceae.
GACGCCAAAUGCGAUGUUGUCGUAGAUCGACAUCGGAAACGGCGUCGGUUUUUGGAACAACAUGCCGAUGCGCGCGCGCAGCAGGUUCAAGUCCUGCUUUUCGUCG